RNAcentral lists this unclassified non-coding RNA (395 nucleotides) under Zea mays. RNAcentral describes it as "misc RNA Zm00001eb174040". The record is from RNAcentral. Lineage: Eukaryota; Viridiplantae; Streptophyta; Magnoliopsida; Poales; Poaceae.
AAGCAUCUAAAGUGCCGAUCUGGAGGUCGCGUUCACAUAGAAAAUGCUUUCCAGUUCAAUUUCCUGAAGCGAGAUGGUGAUGUUGAAAUUAAAACAGAAGAGCUAUAUCCAAAUAAAGACAUGACACAAAUAUGUAGCGCUGAACGAAGGGUGUUACUUUACUUAGACCAUGACAUGGUGUUUAUUCCGAUAAACAUCCGAGAGACGCACUGGUAUCUUGUCGUGAUCCAUGCAAGAAAUAUGGAGAUACAAGUGCUCGAUUCACUUGGUACUUCACAAGACCGCAAAGACCUCACUGACUCUAUUAAAGGACUGCAAAGACAAAUAGAUAUGAUAUCUCAAUGUAAGGAGUUAAAAGACCACAGGUGGCCAGACCUCCAAGUUGCUUCUUGGCC